Molecule: transfer RNA, 85 nt
Filed under: Hahella sp. CCB-MM4
Lineage: Bacteria; Pseudomonadati; Pseudomonadota; Gammaproteobacteria; Oceanospirillales; Hahellaceae
Description: tRNA-Leu
Rfam family: tRNA
About the family: Transfer RNA (tRNA) molecules are approximately 80 nucleotides in length.
Source: RNAcentral
GCCGGAGUGGCGGAACUGGUAGACGCGCACGACUCAAACUCGUGUUCCUCCGGGAGUGGGAGUUCGAUUCUCCCCUCCGGCACCA